This is a long non-coding RNA of Glycine soja, 258 nucleotides long. RefSeq lists it as uncharacterized. The record is from RefSeq and is a predicted model, not a curated record. Lineage: Eukaryota; Viridiplantae; Streptophyta; Magnoliopsida; Fabales; Fabaceae. The transcript has 3 exons.
AAGAGAUGAAAUCAUAAAAAAUGUGCCGAUAGGCAUAGAUAAAGAUCAAUGGGCUCGUUUUGUUCAUUAUCGUCAUAAACCAUCCACAUUGGAACUUUGUAGGAGAAAUAAAGAAAUUCGAAGCAAGCAAGUUAUUCCACACACUGGUGGAUCCAAAGCUAAUCCUAGAAGAAGAAAUGAGUUGUUGUUAGAAACUGGGAAGCUACCAAGUCGUGGACAAUUAUAUAUUGAAACUCAUAAAAGGAAAGAUGGAUCAUU